UGAAGACCUUUAGCAGAAAAUUAUACUUUAUUAACAUCUAUUGGUAAAGUUAUCUAAGAUGUACCAUCUCAUCCUUCACUCCAUAAGAAAAGAGAAGGACAGAAUUAAACAUGGGGACAGAUGAAGAAGUAAAGAAGAUGAAAAUGAGGAAGAUAAAAAACAAACUGAAGACACAAUGUGAACCCUGGGAAUUCAAGGCUGAAUAGUACGAAGUCCUUUCCUCACAGAGUUCAGGACCCAGGAGUGGAGGCCAGAUAAGGGUAAGCUGAACAGGUGCAUCCAUUGCUCCUCCAGAAUUUCUCUGUAGGUUGUGAUCACAUUUUAGAGUUUAUUUUCUGUUUUUCCAUAUCAAGUUCUUUUUCUUUCAGUUUUUUUUAGAGGGUCAGGUGAAACUUAACAUUUGUCUUUUUCCAGUCUUACUCUUUUUCUUUAUUAAAAAUUGUAUGUGCUUAUAGUGUACAACAUGUUGUUUUAAUAUAUGUAUACAUUGUGGAAUGGCGAAAUCAAGCUAUUUACAUACGCAUUACAUCACACACACUUUUUUUAUAGUGAGAAUACUUAAAAUCUGUCAUAGCAUUUUUCAGAUAUACAAUAUGUUGUUUUUAACUGUAGUCACCGUGUUAUACAAUAGAGAUCUGGAAUUUAUUCCUUCUGUCUACCUGAAAUUUUGUAUCCUUUGACAAACAUCUCCUCAAUUGCUCCACUCCUCAGCUUCUGGUAACAAGCAUUUUACUGUUUCUAUGAGUUUGACUUUUUUUUAGAUUUCACAUAUAAGCGAGAUCAUGUGGUCUUUGUCUUUCUGUGACAGGCUUACUUCAUCUAACACAUUGUCUUCCAGGUUUAUCUGUGUUGUCACAAACGACAGAAUUUCCUUCUUUUUGAAAAACCAAAUAGUAUUACAUUGUCUCUAUAAAAAAAUACAAAAAAU
This is a long non-coding RNA of Homo sapiens (human), 928 nucleotides long. RefSeq lists it as uncharacterized. NCBI's taxonomy places the organism in Eukaryota, Metazoa, Chordata, Mammalia, Primates, Hominidae. The transcript has 3 exons. The record is from RefSeq and is a predicted model, not a curated record.